UGAGGAAUAUUGGUCAAUGGGCGGAAGCCUGAACCAGCCAUGCCGCGUGCAGGACGACGGCCCUACGGGUUGUAAACUGCUUUUCCGGGGGAAGAAUAACCCCCCUGCGGGGGGGGAUGCCGGUACCCCGGGAAUAAGGAUCGGCUAACUCCGUGCCAGCAGCCGCGGUAAUACGGAGGAUCCUAGCGUUAUCCGGAUUUACUGGGUUUAAAGGGUGCGUAGGCGGGCGUUUAAGUCCGCGGUGAAAGUCUGCGGCUCAACCGUAGGAUUGCCGUGGAUACUGGACGUCUUGGAUUCGGUCGGGGCGGGCGGAAUGCGUGGUGUAGCGGUGAAAUGCAUAGAUAUCACGCAGAACGCCGAUAGCGAAGGCAGCUCGCCGGGCCGAAAUCGACGCUGAGG
Molecule: ribosomal RNA, 399 nt
Filed under: uncultured bacterium
Lineage: Bacteria
Description: bacterial SSU rRNA
Rfam family: Bacterial small subunit ribosomal RNA
Source: RNAcentral